GACCAGAGAAGAAAUAGCUUGUACUAAACGAAAAAUUAUACACCACAAUAUAUAUUCUUGACAAAAGCUAGAAAACACAGGCACAAACACGAGGGAUUCAAAGCUGCCAAAAUGCCAAAAUCACUGGAAAGAGACGUAGGCAAAUGGAACACAACCCAACAAAACUUAGUUUUACUCGCUAUAAUACAAUUUCUUGUUUCAGAAGAGAAACGGAAACAUAAUACUGUUCCUUUUCAUUAAUAACCUCCAUCCAUUAUUAGAUCAACAACAUGACAAAAAUCGACAGCUAAGAAUCACAAGUCAAUAGACAAAAUCUUAAGCAAAUCACCAAAAGAUAGACCGUCUUUAUCAUCCCCACAGCCCAAUUUCAUCAUAGCCUUAAUAUCAUCAUCGCGGGCAUCAAACCCAGCCCACUGCAUGUAACUCUUCAAAUCUUCGUGGCUCAAUUUCCCAUCCCCGUCUUUGUCCAUAACCUUAAACACGUCUUCCAUGACCCCGUUAUUACGACUCCUCUUCUUUCCAUUAUCGUCCAAAACACGCUUGAAUUCCUCGUACUCCACGAAUCCAUCUUUGUUGAAGUCCGCCACAGAUAUCAUCGACCCUAUAACAUCGUCGUCGUUGGGGUCGCCGCUUGACAAUCCGGCGUAAAACUUUCGAAGAUCGUCUCUGCUUAUUUUCCCAUCAUGGUCGGCGUCGAGAAUAUCAAAAGCUGCCCUCAAAUCCGACGUAGUUUGGGUGUUUGAAGCUAAACUUCUACCGGACGGACACAUAUUGUAACUUUCAGAAAAUGAGAAGAGAGACGAGAGGGCUUUGGUGUUUUUGAAUAAGCUUAGGCUUUAAGAGAGAAAUGGAAGAGCUGGGUUGUUUUUUAUAGGGGGGAGGGAAAAGUGGGCCCAAGCGAAUAUAGGGGUCCACUAUAAUAGAGGCAGGAAACGAGGCUUGUUUGACAAGCUGCGAGACAGUGAGAGUCUAUGAAUUAGCCACGUUGGACUUUUUGAAUUGUGAUACGUAUGCGGUGACGUAGGGAAUCUGUUCGUUGGAAUACCGAGUCUGAGUCUAUUGGUAGUGACUGUUAGGUUUGUUUUGUUGUGGUGAAGUUACAGAUACCUCCUUCCUUGUUUUCAUUCACAAACCUACUUGCUUUUGAUUUUCAUGGGCAUUUUAGACAUAAUAAUAAAUGUCUUAUUUCCA
Molecule: unclassified non-coding RNA, 1191 nt
Filed under: Hevea brasiliensis (rubber tree)
Lineage: Eukaryota; Viridiplantae; Streptophyta; Magnoliopsida; Malpighiales; Euphorbiaceae
Source: RNAcentral